RNAcentral lists this ribosomal RNA (459 nucleotides) under uncultured bacterium. RNAcentral's name for it is "partial 16S ribosomal RNA". It matches the Rfam family "Bacterial small subunit ribosomal RNA", at positions 338 to 795 of the family's 1533-position model. The record is from RNAcentral.
CCUACGGGCGGCAGCAGUGAGGAAUAUUGGUCAAUGGCCGAGAGGCUGAACCAGCCAAGUCGCGUGAGGGAAGAAUGUCCAACGGAUUGUAAACCUCUUUUGUCAGGGAGCAAAGUCACCCACGUGUGGGCGUUGGAGGGUACCUGAAGAAAAAGCAUCGGCUAACUCCGUGCCAGCAGCCGCGGUAAUACGGAGGAUGCGAGCGUUAUCCGGAUUUAUUGGGUUUAAAGGGUGCGCAGGCGGGUUAUCAAGUCAGCGGUAAAAGCGUGGAGCUCAACUCCAUCGAGCCGUUGAAACUGACGAUCUGGAGUGGGCGAGAAGUACGCGGAAUGCGUGGUGUAGCGGUGAAAUGCUUAGAUAUCACGCAGAACCCCGAUUGCGAAGGCAGCAUACCGGCGCCCGACUGACGCUGAGGCACGAAAGCGUGGGUAUCGAACAGGAUUAGAUACCCGUGUAGUC